This 491-nucleotide small RNA is filed under the name Histoplasma capsulatum. Its description in RNAcentral is "hypothetical RNA". The record is from RNAcentral. RNAcentral also lists the same sequence under 1 other name. Lineage: Eukaryota; Fungi; Ascomycota; Eurotiomycetes; Onygenales; Ajellomycetaceae.
GGUGUGUGCAAGUCGAGGGCUGUAGGUGUGCUAACCUACCUCACUCGAAUGUAAUAGAGCGUCUUGGGGAGGUAGUUAUAAACUUUUAUGAUACAUCACAGUAUUGUGUGACUAACUUAAAGAAGUUUUGUAAUGGGAAGCUGCUCCACCAUUUUAGGUCAAACCUUCAAUAUUUGGCAUACAAAAUCGGAGAAAUAUGUAUCGAAAGUAGACCCUCAGUAAGUGGGCAAUAGGGGAUUCAGGCAUGGUGCCAAAAUUGACCAUACUCUAUUCAUAGUUGUGAUGACCUAUUUACUGACUGACUCCUGUUGAAAGUUCCUUACUGUCCUUGAUGCGGAGAAGAUAUGAUAGAAGGAAUGAUCUCAAGUGAUCUUGUCUUAUUGGAGAUCUGGAACUAAAAUGUUUCUAACUGCACCCUCCUUCUGAGGGUUUGGUAUAGAAGAAGGGCUCGCUACCCUCGACUGAAGGCAUACAACAAAUAUAAACCGGCA